RNAcentral lists this ribosomal RNA (468 nucleotides) under uncultured bacterium. RNAcentral describes it as "partial 16S ribosomal RNA". It matches the Rfam family "Bacterial small subunit ribosomal RNA", at positions 28 to 507 of the family's 1533-position model. The record is from RNAcentral.
GACGAACGCUGGCGGCGUGCUUAACACAUGCAAGUCGAACGGAAAGGCCCUGCUUUUGUGGGAUGCUCGAGUGGCGAACGGGUGAGUAACACGUGAGUAACCUGCCCUUGACUUUGGGAUAACUUCAGGAAACUGGGGCUAAUACCGGAUAGGAGCUCCUGCUGCAUGGUGGGGGUUGGAAAGUUUCGGCGGUUGGGGAUGGACUCGCGGCUUAUCAGCUUGUUGGUGGGGUAGUGGCUUACCAAGGCUUUGACGGGUAGCCGGCCUGAGAGGGUGACCGGCCACAUUGGGACUGAGAUACGGCCCAGACUCCUACGGGAGGCAGCAGUGGGGAAUAUUGCACAAUGGGCGGAAGCCUGAUGCAGCAACGCCGCGUACGGGAUGACGGCCUUCGGGUUGUAAACCGCUUUCGCCUGUGACGAAGCGUGAGUGACGGUAAUGGGUAAAGAAGCACCGGCUAACUACGUG